UGGGGAAUAUUGCACAAUGGGGGAAACCCUGAUGCAGCAACGCCGCGUGAAGGAUGAAGGUUUUCGGAUCGUAAACUUCUAUCAACAGGGACGAAACAAAUGACGGUACCUGAAUAAGAAGCCCCGGCUAACUACGUGCCAGCAGCCGCGGUAAUACGUAGGGGGCAAGCGUUAUCCGGAAUUACUGGGUGUAAAGGGAGCGUAGGCGGCACGUCAAGCCAGAUGUGAAAGCCCGGGGCUUAACCCCGUGGAUGCUUUUGAAACUGGCGAGCUAGAGUACAGGAGAGGAAAGCGGAAUUCCUAGUGUAGCGGUGAAAUGCGUAGAUAUUAGGAAGAACACCAGUGGCGAAGGCGGCUUUCUGGACUGAAACUGACGCUGAGGCUCGAAAGCGUGGGGAGCAAACAGGAUUGAUACCC
RNAcentral lists this ribosomal RNA (417 nucleotides) under uncultured bacterium. Its description in RNAcentral is "bacterial SSU rRNA". It matches the Rfam family "Bacterial small subunit ribosomal RNA", at positions 355 to 787 of the family's 1533-position model. The record is from RNAcentral.